This 487-nucleotide ribosomal RNA is filed under the name uncultured bacterium. RNAcentral describes it as "partial 16S ribosomal RNA". It matches the Rfam family "Bacterial small subunit ribosomal RNA", at positions 28 to 507 of the family's 1533-position model. The record is from RNAcentral.
GACGAACGCUGGCGGCGUGCUUAACACAUGCAAGUCGAACGGAAAGGCCCCCAUCUUGGUGGGGGUGCUCGAGUGGCGAACGGGUGAGUAACACGUGGGUGAUCUGCCCUGUACUUCGGGAUAAGCUUGGGAAACUGGGUCUAAUACCGGAUAGGACCAUGGUUUAGCGUCUCAUGGUGGAAAGAUUAUUGUUUUGGUGCAGGAUGAGCUCGCGGCCUAUCAGCUUGUUGGUGGGGUAAUGGCCUACCAAGGCGUCGACGGGUAGCCGGCCUGAGAGGGUGGACGGCCACAUUGGGACUGAGAUACGGCCCAGACUCCUACGGGAGGCAGCAGUGGGGAAUAUUGCACAAUGGGCGCAAGCCUGAUGCAGCGACGCCGCGUGGGGGAUGACGGCCUUCGGGUUGUAAACUCCUUUCGUUAGGGACGAAGCCACGCUUGUGGGGUGUGGUGACGGUACCUUUGUGAAGAAGCACCGGCUAACUACGUG